This 253-nucleotide ribosomal RNA is filed under the name uncultured bacterium. RNAcentral's name for it is "partial 16S ribosomal RNA". It matches the Rfam family "Bacterial small subunit ribosomal RNA", at positions 524 to 776 of the family's 1533-position model. The record is from RNAcentral.
UACGGAGGGGGCUAGCGUUGCUCGGAAUCACUGGGCGUAAAGGGUGCGUAGGCGGGUCUUUAAGUCAGGGGUGAAAUCCUGGAGCUCAACUCCAGAACUGCCUUUGAUACUGAGGAUCUUGAGUUCGGGAGAGGUGAGUGGAACUGCGAGUGUAGAGGUGAAAUUCGUAGAUAUUCGCAAGAACACCAGUGGCGAAGGCGGCUCACUGGCCCGAUACUGACGCUGAGGCACGAAAGCGUGGGGAUCAAACAGG